Molecule: ribosomal RNA, 450 nt
Filed under: uncultured bacterium
Lineage: Bacteria
Description: partial 16S ribosomal RNA
Rfam family: Bacterial small subunit ribosomal RNA
Source: RNAcentral
GUGGGGAAUAUUGGACAAUGGGCGCAAGCCUGAUCCAGCAAUGCCGCGUGCAGGAAGAAGGCCUUCGGGUUGUAAACUGCUUUUGUACGGAACGAAAAGGCCCUGGUUAAUACCUGGGGCUCAUGACGGUACCGUAAGAAUAAGCACCGGCUAACUACGUGCCAGCAGCCGCGGUAAUACGUAGGGUGCAAGCGCUAAUCGGAAUUACUGGGCGUAAAGCGUGCGCAGGCGGUGCUGUAAGACAGGCGUGAAAUCCCCGGGCUUAACCUGGGAAUUGCGCUUGUGACUGCAGUGCUGGAGUGCGGCAGAGGGGGAUGGAAUUCCGCGUGUAGCAGUGAAAUGCGUAGAUAUGCGGAGGAACACCGAUGGCGAAGGCAAUCCCCUGGGCCUGCACUGACGCUCAUGCACGAAAGCGUGGGGAGCAAACAGGAUUAGAAACCCGAGUAGUCC